AUUGAACGCUGGCUGCAGGCCUAACACAUGCAAGUCGAACGAGUGGCGGACGGGUGAGUAAUGCCUGGGAAACUGCCCGAUGUUGGGGGAUAACAACUUGAAACGGUAGCUAAUACCGCCUACCCUCGGAUGUGUCCUGAUGGGAUUCGCUAGUUGGUGGGGUAACGGCACACCUAGACGACGAUCCCUAGCUGGGCGGAGAGGAUGCAAAGCCACCCUGGAACGGAGACACGGCCCAGACCCCAACGUGAGGAGGCGGGGGGGAAAAGUGCACAAGGGGCGGAGGCUUAAUGCGAACCGGCCGAGUAUAGGGAGAGGGCCUUGGGGUUGGAGUGGUCGUUCAUCGAGGAGGCGGUACUCGAAGAAGAAGCACCGGCUAACUCCGUGCCAGCAGCCGCGGUAAUAC
Molecule: ribosomal RNA, 406 nt
Filed under: uncultured bacterium
Lineage: Bacteria
Description: partial 16S ribosomal RNA
Rfam family: Bacterial small subunit ribosomal RNA
Source: RNAcentral